UUGAAAGGGAAACGAUUGAAGUCAGUCGUACCGACGCAGAAUCAACCUUUGGAGUGCGAGUCGAGGUAUUCGAGGAGUUUAAAAGCCCUUGUGUGCUUCCGUAUCGUGCUUCUUGGGUGCUUUUCUUCGUAUGGUAGGUUAACAUCAAUUUUGGACGUUACAAAAUGACUGGGGGAAUGUAGCUUCGAUUUUUCGAAGUGUUAUAGCCCUUUGUAGAUGUGACGACCGGGAUUGAGGAUUGCAACGAACGCUUUCGGGCUAUCCGUCUGACCUCUGGUGGUUGCUUUGGGGUCGAAAGCGUGCUUACGGCUUUAAAGUUGGCUAUCAAAAAGCUAGAACGUGAUUAAAUUCGUUAAGGAUGUUGACGUA
This 369-nucleotide ribosomal RNA is filed under the name uncultured Glomeromycotina. RNAcentral's name for it is "LSU rRNA". The record is from RNAcentral. Lineage: Eukaryota; Fungi; Glomeromycota.